UGGGGAAUAUUGCACAAUGGGCGCAAGCCUGAUGCAGCCAUGCCGCGUGUGUGAAGAAGGCCUUCGGGUUGUAAAGCACUUUCAGCGGGGAGGAAGGCGAUAAGGUUAAUAACCUUGUCGAUUGACGUUACCCGCAGAAGAAGCACCGGCUAACUCCGUGCCAGCAGCCGCGGUAAUACGGAGGGUGCAAGCGUUAAUCGGAAUUACUGGGCGUAAAGCGCACGCAGGCGGUCUGUCAAGUCGGAUGUGAAAUCCCCGGGCUCAACCUGGGAACUGCAUUCGAAACUGGCAGGCUAGAGUCUUGGAGAGGGGGGUAGAAUUCCAGGUGUAGCGGUGAAAUGCGUAGAGAGCUGGAGGAAUACCGGUGGCGAAGGCGGCCCCCUGGACAAAGACUGACGCUCAGGUGCGAAAGAGUGGGGAGCAAACAGG
This 429-nucleotide ribosomal RNA is filed under the name Chloroflexota bacterium. RNAcentral's name for it is "Chloroflexi bacterium partial 16S ribosomal RNA". It matches the Rfam family "Bacterial small subunit ribosomal RNA", at positions 355 to 776 of the family's 1533-position model. Lineage: Bacteria; Bacillati; Chloroflexota. The record is from RNAcentral.